UUAUGGCAACCAUCUUCGACGUGAAUUACAGAACUUCUUCCAAUGUUGUAAGAUAUGAGAUACCUCUCAUAUCAUAUAGUACAUCAAAUCUCGCAAUCAAGGAGGUCAAAUCAUCACUAUUUUGAAAGAAAUCAAGAGGUAAGAUACAAGAAGUUCAUCAUUUGAAGAUUAAUGAUGUGUUUGAGCAACAUUUAAAAAAAAAUGUAUUUUGGAAUAGUAGUUUGAUGGAGAAUGG
RNAcentral lists this long non-coding RNA (235 nucleotides) under Olea europaea (common olive). RNAcentral describes it as "long non-coding RNA (OEUR_LNC000729)". Lineage: Eukaryota; Viridiplantae; Streptophyta; Magnoliopsida; Lamiales; Oleaceae. The record is from RNAcentral.